AGUGAACGCUGGCGGUAGGCCUAACACAUGCAAGUCGAACGGCAGCACAGUAAGAGCUUGCUCUUACGGGUGGCGAGUGGCGGACGGGUGAGGAAUACAUCGGAAUCUACUUUUUCGUGGGGUAUAACGUAGGGAAACUUACGCUAAUACCGCAUACGACCUACGGGUGAAAGCAGGGGAUCUUCGGACCUUGCGCUCUUGAAUGAGCCGAUGUCGGAUUAGCUAGUUGGCGGGGUAAAGGCCCACCAAGGCGACGAUCCGUAGCUGGUCUGAGAGGAUGAUCAGCCACACUGGAACUGAGACACGGUCCAGACUCCUACGGGAGGCAGAAGUGGGGAAUAUUGGACAAGGGGCGCAAGCCUGAUCCAGCCAUACCGCGUGGGUGAAGAAGGCCUUCGGGUUGUAAAGCCCUUUUGUUGGGAAAGAAAAGCAGCAGGUUAAUACCCCGCUGUUCUGACGGUACCCAAAGAAUAAGCACCGGCUAACUUCGUG
This 492-nucleotide ribosomal RNA is filed under the name uncultured bacterium. RNAcentral's name for it is "partial 16S ribosomal RNA". It matches the Rfam family "Bacterial small subunit ribosomal RNA", at positions 29 to 507 of the family's 1533-position model. The record is from RNAcentral.